AGCCCCGUAGUGUAAAAGAGCUCAUUGAAUUGCAAAUUCAGAGGCGCAGAUUAAAUACCUGCCGGGGCUU
Molecule: transfer RNA, 70 nt
Filed under: Grundulus bogotensis
Lineage: Eukaryota; Metazoa; Chordata; Actinopteri; Characiformes; Acestrorhamphidae
Description: tRNA-Cys
Rfam family: tRNA
About the family: Transfer RNA (tRNA) molecules are approximately 80 nucleotides in length. Their secondary structure includes four short double-helical elements and three loops (D, anti-codon, and T loops).
Source: RNAcentral